Long non-coding RNA from Dermochelys coriacea (leatherback sea turtle), 552 nucleotides. RefSeq lists it as uncharacterized. The record is from RefSeq and is a predicted model, not a curated record. Lineage: Eukaryota; Metazoa; Chordata; Testudines; Dermochelyidae. The transcript has 3 exons.
AGGAGCAGAGAAACUGCUGCCUGGCACAGCAGGGGUUAAAGAAAACCUGUGGGUUCAGCUAGCCCCACCCUGUUAUACCUGCAGCAAAUGCCAGGCCUGGAGUGGGAAGAAAAGAAGGGAGCCUGACUCAGUUAGGGGCUGAUUGGUGAAGAGGCAGGAGUUCUCUGUUUGCCUGCCUGAAGUCAUGGACUGACAACCCUACCAGCCAAUGCAGCCAUUGAAGGCAACUCACCCAGAACUCAAUAUUCUCCUCGCUGUACUCAGACUUGAGGAAAGCCCAGAAAGCAGCCAGCCCACUUGCAGAUGGGGUGAACGCAAUAGGAAGUAGGGUGAAUAGGACAGAAAUGUGAGACAUGCUGGGGUCAGCAGCAGAGCUGACGCUGACCACAGUCUGGGACCAAGGCAGAGCCACUCCCUCCAUGUUUGGGAAAUUGUGGGUUCCUUGAGUUCCCCCACAGCCUGAGGAUGAGAUUUCAUCUGUUCCCAACUUCCUUAGAGCAUGUGCUGCUUUACCAAUAAGGGAUAGUUCAGUGUGAAUGCCAUGGUCUGUUC